UACGGAAGGGGCAAGCGUUGUUCGGAAUCAUUGGGCGUAAAGGGCGCGUAGGUGGUUCUGUAUGUCUACCGUGAAAGCGUACGGCUCAACCGUAUUUUGUCGGUGGAAACUGCAGGACUUGAGGCUGGGAGGGGCUGGUGGAAUUCCCUGUGUAGCGGUGAAAUGCGUAGAGAUGGGGGAGAACACUCGUGGCGAAGGCGGCACUCUGGGCCGGCACUGACGCUGAGGAGCGAAAGCGUGGGGAGCGAACAGG
RNAcentral lists this ribosomal RNA (253 nucleotides) under uncultured bacterium. Its description in RNAcentral is "partial 16S ribosomal RNA". It matches the Rfam family "Bacterial small subunit ribosomal RNA", at positions 524 to 776 of the family's 1533-position model. The record is from RNAcentral.